RNAcentral lists this ribosomal RNA (800 nucleotides) under Paenarthrobacter nitroguajacolicus. RNAcentral describes it as "bacterial SSU rRNA". It matches the Rfam family "Bacterial small subunit ribosomal RNA", at positions 77 to 889 of the family's 1533-position model. Lineage: Bacteria; Bacillati; Actinomycetota; Actinomycetes; Micrococcales; Micrococcaceae. The record is from RNAcentral.
AGCUUGCUGGGGGAUUAGUGGCGAACGGGUGAGUAACACGUGAGUAACCUGCCCUUGACUCUGGGAUAAGCCUGGGAAACUGGGUCUAAUACCGGAUACGACCAUCUGGCGCAUGUCAUGGUGGUGGAAAGCUUUUGUGGUUUUGGAUGGACUCGCGGCCUAUCAGCUUGUUGGUGGGGUAAUGGCCUACCAAGGCGACGACGGGUAGCCGGCCUGAGAGGGUGACCGGCCACACUGGGACUGAGACACGGCCCAGACUCCUACGGGAGGCAGCAGUGGGGAAUAUUGCACAAUGGGCGGAAGCCUGAUGCAGCGACGCCGCGUGAGGGAUGACGGCCUUCGGGUUGUAAACCUCUUUCAGUAGGGAAGAAGCGAAAGUGACGGUACCUGCAGAAGAAGCGCCGGCUAACUACGUGCCAGCAGCCGCGGUAAUACGUAGGGCGCAAGCGUUAUCCGGAAUUAUUGGGCGUAAAGAGCUCGUAGGCGGUUUGUCGCGUCUGCUGUGAAAGACCGGGGCUCAACUCCGGUUCUGCAGUGGGUACGGGCAGACUAGAGUGCAGUAGGGGAGACUGGAAUUCCUGGUGUAGCGGUGAAAUGCGCAGAUAUCAGGAGGAACACCGAUGGCGAAGGCAGGUCUCUGGGCUGUAACUGACGCUGAGGAGCGAAAGCAUGGGGAGCGAACAGGAUUAGAUACCCUGGUAGUCCAUGCCGUAAACGUUGGGCACUAGGUGUGGGGGACAUUCCACGUUUUCCGCGCCGUAGCUAACGCAUUAAGUGCCCCGCCUGGGGAGUACGGCCGC